Molecule: ribosomal RNA, 292 nt
Filed under: uncultured bacterium
Lineage: Bacteria
Description: partial 16S ribosomal RNA
Rfam family: Bacterial small subunit ribosomal RNA
Source: RNAcentral
GUGCCAGCCGCCGCGGUAAUACGGAGGGUGCAAGCGUUAUCCGGAAUCAUUGGGUUUAAAGGGUUCGCAGGCGGUCAAUUAAGUCAGAGGUGAAAUACCGUCGCUUAACGACGGAACUGCCUUUGAUACUGGUUGACUUGAGUCAUAUGGAAGUAGAUAGAAAGUGUAGUGUAGCGGUGAAAUGCUUAGAUAUUACACAGAAUACCGAUUGCGGAGGCAGUCUACUACGUAUGUACUGACGCUCAUGGACGAAAGCGUGGGGAGCGAACAGGAUUAGAAACCCCGGUAGUCC